CAUGCCUGAGCGCGUGGCGGGGAGGCGCGGCUCUGACUGAGAUCGCGGCGGGCGGCGGAGCGCCGCUCCGGCCCCGAGGAGCUGCGACGGGAACAGUGAUCAGCAGUGCAAUAUUUGCACUGGACAGAGAAAUAAGCAUGAAGCCCCUUCACUAACUGUUCUCACUGCAGCAGAGGAGCCCUGGUGUGUCACAGCUGGACAGAGGCACCUCUACCUAUGGCAAGGAAGAGCUGAGGUAAGCAUGUCACAUGUAUUUCAGCUAAAUUUUUUGUUGCUGUUUCUUGGACUUUUAGAACAAAAAAGAGUACGUUGAUACUGUCUUUUGACUUCAGAAUUGAACAUAAAACACCAAUUUUGGAGAAAAACAGAAUGAAGUUACUAUUUCUCAGCUAUUCACCAGAAUAUUACUAAUACUCCCUAUGGUAAAUAAGUGUGUUCAUCUCAUUUGCAAUUAAACUAAUUUGACAUUUUUGCUUCUCUAGAAAUAAAUUGUAAAUAAACAAAUUUGGUUUCA
RNAcentral lists this long non-coding RNA (514 nucleotides) under Phasianus colchicus (ring-necked pheasant). Its description in RNAcentral is "lncRNA (ENSPCLG00000012290.1)". The record is from RNAcentral. Lineage: Eukaryota; Metazoa; Chordata; Aves; Galliformes; Phasianidae.